Molecule: ribosomal RNA, 508 nt
Filed under: uncultured bacterium
Lineage: Bacteria
Description: partial 16S ribosomal RNA
Rfam family: Bacterial small subunit ribosomal RNA
Source: RNAcentral
GACGAACGCUGGCGGCGUGCCUAAUACAUGCAAGUCGAACGCUUCUUUCCUCCCGAGUGCUUGCACUCAAUUGGAAAGAGGAGUGGCGGACGGGUGAGUAACACGUGGGUAACCUACCCAUCAGAGGGGGAUAACACUUGGAAACAGGUGCUAAUACCGCAUAACAGUUUAUGCCGCAUGGCAUAAGAGUGAAGGGCGCUUUCGGGUGUCGCUGAUGGAUGGACCCGCGGUGCAUUAGCUAGUUGGUGAGGUAACGGCUCACCAAGGCCACGAUGCAUAGCCGACCUGAGAGGGUGAUCGGCCACACUGGGACUGAGACACGGCCCAGACUCCUACGGGAGGCAGCAGUAGGGAAUCUUCGGCAAAGGACGAAAGUCUGACCGAGCAACGCCGCGUGAGUGAAGAAGGUUUUCGGAUCGUAAAACUCUGUUGUUAGAGAAGAACAAGGACGUUAGUAACUGAACGUCCCCUGACGGUAUCUAACCAGAAAGCCACGGCUAACUACGUG